GAUGAGCGCUGGCGGCGUGCCUAAUACAUGCAAGUCGAGCGAACGGACGAGAAGCUUGCUUCUCUGAUGUUAGCGGCGGACGGGUGAGUAACACGUGGAUAACCUACCUAUAAGACUGGGAUAACUUCGGGAAACCGGAGCUAAUACCGGAUAAUAUUUUGAACCGCAUGGUUCAAAAGUGAAAGACGGUCUUGCUGUCACUUAUAGAUGGAUCCGCGCUGCAUUAGCUAGUUGGUAAGGUAACGGCUUACCAAGGCAACGAUGCAUAGCCGACCUGAGAGGGUGAUCGGCCACACGGGAACUGAGACACGGUCCAGACUCCUACGGGAGGCAGCAGUAGGGAAUCUUCCGCAAUGGGCGAAAGCCUGACGGAGCAACGCCGCGUGAGUGAUGAAGGUCUUCGGAUCGUAAAACUCUGUUAUUAGGGAAGAACAUAUGUGUAAGUAACUGUGCACAUCUUGACGGUACCUAAUCAGAAAGCCACGGCUAACUACGUG
RNAcentral lists this ribosomal RNA (497 nucleotides) under uncultured bacterium. Its description in RNAcentral is "partial 16S ribosomal RNA". It matches the Rfam family "Bacterial small subunit ribosomal RNA", at positions 28 to 507 of the family's 1533-position model. The record is from RNAcentral.